GACGAACGCUGGCGGCGUGCUUAACACAUGCAAGUCGAACGGAAAGGCCCUGCUUUUGUUGGUUGCUCGAGUGGCGAACGGGUGAGUAACACGUGAGUAACCUGCCCUUGACUUUGGGAUAUCUUCAGGAAACUGGGGCUAAUACCGGAUAGGAUCUCCUGCUGCAUGUUGGGGGUUGGAAAGUUUCGGCGGUUGGGGAUGGACUCGCGGCGUAUCAGCUUGUUGGUGGGGUAGUGGCUUACCAAGGCUUUGACGGGUAGCCGGCCUGAGAGGGUGACCGGCGACAUAGGGACUGAGAUACGGCACAGACUCCUACGGGAGGCAGAAGUGGGGAAUAUUGAAGAAGGGGCGGAGGGCGGAUGCAGCAGCGCCGCGGGCGGGAUGACGGCCUUAGGGUGGUAAACCGAUUGCGCCUGUGACGAAGCGUGAGUGAAGGUAAUGGGUAAAGAAGCACAGGCUAAAUAAGUG
This 468-nucleotide ribosomal RNA is filed under the name uncultured bacterium. RNAcentral's name for it is "partial 16S ribosomal RNA". It matches the Rfam family "Bacterial small subunit ribosomal RNA", at positions 28 to 507 of the family's 1533-position model. The record is from RNAcentral.